GACGAACGCUGGCGGCGUGCUUAACACAUGCAAGUCGAACGGACCGCGCCUAGGUUUGUGCGCUGGUUCAGUGGCGAACGGGUGAGUAACACGUAAGUAACCUGCCCCUGCCUCUGGGUUAACUUCAGGAAACUGGGGCUAAUACUGGAUCCGCGCACGAGCUGCAUUGAGAUGGUUGGGAAAGUUCGGCGGUCGGGGAUGGACUCGCGGCUUAUCAGCUUGCUUGUGGGGGAUAGGCUGACCAAGGCAUUGAUGGGUAGCCGGCCUUGGAUGGGGAACGGCCACAUUGGUACUGAGAGACGCCCCAGACGCCUACGGGAGGCAGCAGUGGCGAAUGUUGCACAAUGGGCGGAAGCCUGAUGCAGCGACGUCGCGUGCGGGAUGACGUCCUUCGAGUUGUAAACCGCGUUCAGCUGUGACGAAGCGCGAGUGACGGUAAUGAGUCAAGAAGCAACGGCUAACUACGUG
This 468-nucleotide ribosomal RNA is filed under the name uncultured bacterium. RNAcentral's name for it is "partial 16S ribosomal RNA". It matches the Rfam family "Bacterial small subunit ribosomal RNA", at positions 28 to 507 of the family's 1533-position model. The record is from RNAcentral.